Molecule: long non-coding RNA, 380 nt
Organism: Anas platyrhynchos (mallard)
Lineage: Eukaryota; Metazoa; Chordata; Aves; Anseriformes; Anatidae
Source: RefSeq, a predicted model, not a curated record
GCAUCCGUUUUAGCUUAGAAAAGUGAAACUUGGAGUUUCGGGGGGUCUUGGAACCAGAACUCGUUGUCACCUGUCCGGAUGCAUGCGUUCUGAAAAACAAAAGACUCAAAUAUCUUAAAGGUUUACUAAAUGACUGAUCUGCAAUCAGCAUGCCUCCCCUUCCCAACAAGAUCCAUUAUGGUCUACUCAGACCAGUGCCUCUUUAAAUAGGAGAGAAACAGAUACCUGGAAAGAGAUGAGGGAGUGUUCCCUUUGGAUCCCAGCCUACUGCAGCUUACAGGUGUCAUUUUUUUUGCAGACUGAGUUUUUACAUCUGGUGUCCUGAGGCUAGAUUUAACAGUUGGAGUGCCAGAAUUUUGUGUCUUGGUAGCCAGAAAAUA